RNAcentral lists this ribosomal RNA (253 nucleotides) under uncultured microorganism. RNAcentral's name for it is "partial 16S ribosomal RNA". It matches the Rfam family "Bacterial small subunit ribosomal RNA", at positions 524 to 776 of the family's 1533-position model. The record is from RNAcentral.
UACGUAGGGUGCGAGCGUUAAUCGGAUUUACUGGGCGUAAAGCGUGCGCAGGCGGCCCGUUAAGACAGGUGUGAAAUCCCUGGGCUCAACCUAGGAAUUGCGCUUGUGACUGGCGGGCUCGAGUACGGUAGAGGGGGGUGGAAUUCCUGGUGUAGCAGUGAAAUGCGUAGAGAUCAGGAGGAACACCGAUGGCGAAGGCAGCCCCCUGGGCCUGUACUGACGCUCAUGCUCGAAAGCGUGGGGAGCAAACAGG